This 327-nucleotide unclassified non-coding RNA is filed under the name soil metagenome. Its description in RNAcentral is "partial contains 5.8S ribosomal RNA, internal transcribed spacer 2, and large subunit ribosomal RNA". The stretch from base 1 to 120 matches the Rfam family "5.8S ribosomal RNA", at positions 35 to 154 of the family's 154-position model. The record is from RNAcentral.
GAUGAAGAACGCAGCGAAAUGCGAUAAGUAAUGUGAAUUGCAGAAUUCAGUGAAUCAUCGAAUCUUUGAACGCACAUUGCGCCCCUUGGUAUUCCGAGGGGCAUGCCUGUUCGAGCGUCAUUAUAACCCUCAAGCUCAGUUUGGUGUUGGGGCCUGCUGCACUGGCAGCCCUUAAAAUCAGUGGCGGCGCCAUCUGGCUCUAAGCGUAGUAAUUCUUCUCGCUAUGGAGUCCUGGUGGAUGCUUGCCAUCAACCCCCAAUUUUUCUAUGGUUGACCUCGGAUCAGGUAGGGAUACCCGCUGAACUUAAGCAUAUCAAAAGCGGAGGA